AUAUGAAUUGCAGAUAUUCGUGAAUCAUCGAAUUUUUGAACGCACAUUGCGCCCUCUGGUAUUCCGGAGGGCAUGCCUGUUUGAGCGUCGUUU
RNAcentral lists this ribosomal RNA (93 nucleotides) under Candida albicans. RNAcentral describes it as "partial 5.8S ribosomal RNA". It matches the Rfam family "5.8S ribosomal RNA", at positions 65 to 154 of the family's 154-position model. From Rfam's summary of the family: 5.8S ribosomal RNA (5.8S rRNA) is a component of the large subunit of the eukaryotic ribosome. It is transcribed by RNA polymerase I as part of the 45S precursor that also contains 18S and 28S rRNA. Lineage: Eukaryota; Fungi; Ascomycota; Pichiomycetes; Serinales; Debaryomycetaceae. The record is from RNAcentral.